RNAcentral lists this long non-coding RNA (435 nucleotides) under Ananas comosus (pineapple). Its description in RNAcentral is "long non-coding RNA (ACOM_LNC024230)". Lineage: Eukaryota; Viridiplantae; Streptophyta; Magnoliopsida; Poales; Bromeliaceae. The record is from RNAcentral.
AAAGAGUUUGAAUAAGGCUCUUGAGGAGGAAAGAGAUUCAAGUUUGAAGAUUAAUUCGGACCUCCAAGAGAAGCUUAGCGAUGCGGAAUCAACGAUCAAAUCUUCUAACGACAAGAUUGGAUUUUUGGAGCAUCAAUUUCAUGAAUCGCACAAGUCCAAUCAAGUCUUGACCAACCAAGUUCGUCAACUCCAAUCCGAUCUUCAACAAUUUUCUUCGGGAUCAAAGAAGUUGGACAAAAUGCUUGGAUUGGGUCAAACGAGCAAAUUGGGCCUUGGAUAUGAACGGACAUAUGUUGAGAAGGAUCAAACGGCGACAUCUAAACUCUCAACAACUUUGAAAGGCAAAGUGUGUCAUCGAUGUGGCAUCAAAGGACACAUCAAAAGGAAUUGCCCAAACAAAGACAAGAAGAAUCAAUCGGCAACUUCUAAACCUCA